This is a long non-coding RNA of Sinocyclocheilus anshuiensis, 321 nucleotides long. RefSeq lists it as uncharacterized. NCBI's taxonomy places the organism in Eukaryota, Metazoa, Chordata, Actinopteri, Cypriniformes, Cyprinidae. The record is from RefSeq and is a predicted model, not a curated record. The transcript is spliced from 3 exons.
CACACACACACACACUCUCACUCACUCACUCACACACACUCACUCUCUGAAGGAAAGAAAACCAGCUUUCCUCCUCGAGUUGGGCAGAAGGAGUCGUUUAAUCUCUCCUCAUCGAGUAAUUGAUCGCUAGAUGUUUCUCUGUGCAGCGGACGCUUUCUGACGGACUUUAGAGGAUCGUGAAUGAAGAUGUUGAGAGAUCUGAUCUGAACGUCAUAAAUCCAUAAGGAGCUGCAUUCAUCUGCAGACUGAGGAAGUGCAGAAGACAAAACAGCAGAAGAGAGCGACCGGCUCACGAUGGCUUUUCCAUCUCGCUCGUCUCGG